GACGAACGCUGGCGGCGUGCCUAAUACAUGCAAGUCGAGCGAAGUUUUUCUGGUGCUUGCACUAGAAAAACUUAGCGGCGAACGGGUGAGUAACACGUAAAGAACCUGCCUUAUAGACUGGGACAACUAUUGGAAACGAUAGCUAAUACCGGAUAACAGCAUUAACUGCAUGGCUGAUGUUUGAAAGUUGGUUUUGCUAACACUAUGAGAUGGCUUUGCGGUGCAUUAGCUAGUUGGUGGGGUAAAGGCCUACCAAGGCGGCGAUGCAUAGCCGACCUGAGAGGGUGAUCGGCCACACUGGGACUGAGACACGGCCCAGACUCCUACGGGAGGCAGCAGUAGGGAAUCUUCCGCAAUGGGCGAAAGCCUGACGGAGCAACGCCGCGUGAGUGAAGAAGGAUUUCGGUUCGUAAAGCUCUGUUGUUAGGGAAGAAUGAUUGUGUAGUAACUA
Molecule: ribosomal RNA, 451 nt
Filed under: Gemella haemolysans
Lineage: Bacteria; Bacillati; Bacillota; Bacilli; Caryophanales; Gemellaceae
Description: bacterial SSU rRNA
Rfam family: Bacterial small subunit ribosomal RNA
Source: RNAcentral